CGAGCAGGCGGCUGAGUAAGUCGGACGUGAAAGCUCCCGGCUCAACCGGGAGAGGCCGUUCGAAACUAGUCAGCUGGAGGGCAGCAGAGGAGCGUGGAAUUCCGGGUGGAGCGGUGAAAUGCGCAGAGAUCCGGAGGAACACCAGAGGCGAAGGCGGCGCUCUGGGCUGCACCUGACGCUGAGCCGCGAAAGCAUGGGGAGCGAACG
Molecule: ribosomal RNA, 207 nt
Filed under: uncultured bacterium
Lineage: Bacteria
Description: partial 16S ribosomal RNA
Rfam family: Bacterial small subunit ribosomal RNA
Source: RNAcentral